AGGAGAAGAAAAAAUUAGUUCGAGAAUUUGAUGAGAAACAGCGUGAAGCAGAUGAAACGCUGCGGGAAAUGGAGGAAGAACUGAAGUAUGCUCCUCUGCCGUUCCGCAACCAAAUGAUGAGCAAAAUCCGGGCAUACAGAAGAGACCUCUCCAUGUUCCAGAGAGAGCUGAGAAGCACAGAUUUGGGAUUGGGCCCUGGAAGUCAAGGCGAUAUAAAAUACGGAAUCUUCUCCACAGAAAAUGAACAGAGUACUCAUCUGCAGUCACAGAGGGUGCUGCUUCUCCAGGGAACAGACAGCCUGAACCGAGCCAGUCAGAGCAUUGAGCGCUCGCACCGAAUUGCUGCUGAAACAGAUCAGAUUGGCACCGAUAUAAUUGAAGAACUUGGGGAGCAGCGGGAGCAACUGGAGCGCACCAAGAGCAGAUUGGUGAAUACAAGUGAGAACUUGAGCAAGAGUCGCAAGAUUCUACGUUCUAUGUCCAGGAGAGUUACCACUAACAAGUUGUUGCUGUCCAUUAUCAUCAUCCUGGAGCUAGCCAUCCUGGGAGGCGUGGUCUACUACAAGUUCUUCCGCAGCAGAUGAAUUUUCAUGACUGACAUGAGCUUUUCUACUGCUAUGAGCUUUUCUACUGCUGAGGAACUGGCUGGGCUGUCUGUUCCCUUUGACUGUCUGAGGAUUGAACUCUCAUGGGACAGCAGGCUCAGCUGAAACUGUACUGACACUAGAGGGACAGAGAAGGGAGUAAAAAGAAAAUGCAGAGACAGACUUGAACUACUGAAGCCAGGGUGAAAGGCUGGAAAACUGAUUCUCAUGGCCUCUAGGAUAGAGCGAGCACCAAGCUUGAGGAUUUCAUAGACAGCUCAUCAGGACAAAUGGGGCAUUCUGCAUUUUUCAGGUCAAGAGUUGGAGGCUGCUCCCAGACUCUGCCAUCUCUGAAAAUGGCUACAGCCAACACAGCUGUCAAGCAGCAAGAAGGCUUUGUUUCCCUCUUACACCUCUCAAUUACUAAUUCUAGUUACAACAUUUGGAUUUGUUCUUAAAGGCUAUCACACCCAUAGCUAUAAUUACAUUGGGAUUAAAUAUACACAAUAAAAGUGUUACUCCAGGGGCACUGACCUGAAACUUUUCUGCAGUUAUGAAUUCAGAGUGACCACUAGGAAAAAUAAUUCAGGUCUCAGAAAUGAAGCUGUAUCUGUGAAACCCAUUGCCAUACCAUAAACUGAGCAUAGUAUUGGUAAUGUUGUCAGAUACUCUCUAGUAUCAGUGAUUUAACAGAUUUAAUACUGCCAUUUUUAAUUACACCUCUUCCUCUAAAUAAAUAAAACUGAAUGCCCUAACUUCCUUUGGUAGGCUCUGCUUUUACUUUGUUUCAAUAGAAAAGGAGUGCUGAUAGUAAAGCCAGACAGGCAUCAGAAGGUACAGGUAUUUUCAGGGUAAGUUAUUAAUAGCAGUUUCUGAGUUUAGUUUUAGUGGUUCCAGGAGCCCUGACACUAAUGCUUGGUUUGAGGAAUGCCAAUCAAAGGAUUAUGUUAAUAAAUAUUUUCCCUUUAAAGCAUCAAAAUUAUUUUUUUAAGAUUUUAAACCCCCUGAAGUGCCCCCUUGCCUUGAGGCGUACCAAGCAGUGCUCCCGUGGAGCCCCCUGGGCAAACAGGCAGCAGCUGACAUCCUGUGAAGGGACUGUGCAAGCACCACCAGGGGUGGUUCUACAGCAACCUGGCCAAAUGCUUGAUUUUUCUUCCCAGCCAGAUGCACCACUUCUGUGCUUCCUGUUGUCUGCUGGGGGUGGAUAUUUAAUUCAGUAGAGCACUAACCAAGCUCAUUAGCCCUGGGUACACAAGAGUUUCUGAAAACAGGUGAGAGAACACCCCAAACUGAAGGACUUGAAACAGCCCUGGGGGAGUUCUUGGCAGCUGUGCCACCUGAGUUCCCACUGUUCUGUUGCCCCAGGACAGCUCUUUCACAAAACCAUCUAGGUUGGAAAGGACCUUCAAGAUCAUCUCAUCCACCCAUUAACCUAACAUUGUUAGGGUCAUGCAGUGAACAAGGAACUGAUGUGUCUCCAAACCUAACCAAAGACAGUGCUCCUGUCUCAGUGCUCAUGCAACCCCAGCGAGGGUUACAGCAGCUGAAUGGAGAUGCUGGCACAGGGUCAACAACAGCAUGAGCAGGCUGUGCCACCCAGAGAGAGGUGUGUUACACUACUACCUCUGUCUCAUGUCCUCUUGAUGGGGAAUGAAGAGCAAGGAGCCUGGAGGUGCUGGAAGAGCAGUACCAGUUAGAGGUGGGCAAUGAAUCAGGAAGAUGUAAUCGUGCAGGCUGUUUUGCUCUCAUCUCAAAGGAGCUGUUUCUUGUGGUUCUACAAAACAAUCUAGACAGGGAGCCAAGUGCUUGCCAGCCUUCCUGACACUAUGAGGUUGAUGACCAAUAGGCAUCAAAAUUCCACUUUUGUGGAAUUGUGAGUGUCCACCCAUAGAAGCAUGCACACAGAUGUGUCAUGGUGGGGAGGGGUUGCCGAAAAACCCCUUCACAGCAUGAGUGAAAGCAAGGAAGGAGAUAGAGGGCUCGCCGCUAAAUCUCUCCCGUCCUCUCGCACUGCCGGGCUGUGUGCACGCUGACAAGACCCAGACCUCCUGGAGAGCGAAGUGCAACUGGCUAGUCUGCCUGCCGCUUGGAGAUGUAACUCUUAGCAGAGUGUGGGACUGGAGUACCCUUCUUGCUGGUGGCAGGCAGUGUUAGAAUUCAAAAAAAAAAAUCCUUCAGAGCAGUCAGGAAAGGAGAGGAAAUUUUUGGGUCCUGUUCUCAACAUAACUGCUGUAACUGGAUGAGAGGGAGCCACAGGCACCUGUUCACACACAAAAUUUCCUCCAGCCAGGCAGAUCUGUAGCCAGAGGAGCCAUUGGCAAAGGUACAUUGUACUACUGCGAAGCAGCCAGUUACACUGCUGCAGAAGCCUCCUUGUACCAGCAGGACAGAUGUUGAUUUUUCUCCCCUAAACAGGAAUACAGUAUGGCAAGAAAACCCUCUUAAUUUAAAGUACACACCUAUUUGUGUAGCUACAAAUACAGGUUGAGGGGCUUGUGUCAGAUGUUUGACAGGCUUUGUCAGCUACAAUUUAGGUGGGCUUGUGACGAGACCUCCUAACCAGCACCACACCCAACUAACUCACCAUUAUGUGUAGCCUAAGCUUACUCUUCCUUCACUACUGCUGCUGGCAAGGGGCCUGAUCCCCCAACUAACCCCAGAAAGCUCACAGUAUUCUUUUAAGCAGCUCAAAAAAAAAAAAAAACCCAAACCCAAACACCAAACUGCUUUUCUGUGCUGCUCAAGAACUGGAGCCCAGCAGUCCAGAAAUCAACAUGUAUACACAGGAAGUCGAUUAAAUACUUCAGUCUACUGACAGAAGAGGAAAGCAGCAUAUCUUACUCUGCCUUCCUCAGCUAUCAAAGAACUUGACUUUUUUUUUGUUCUUACCAAGAUAGAAACUGUUCACCUUAGGUGAGCUCCAAAAUUUUCUCUCCCUCUUCCUAUCCUUCCUGCAAAAAGUGGGUGCAGUUGCCACAAAGAAUAAGAGUAGCACCCCCUUUAAUUUAUGGGCAAGAAACUAGAAAUACAGUAACCAUUUAUAUUAACCUUCUCAUGUCCUGAGGGUAUUUCAAGAAGCCCCAUUAAUUCUGCAUUGCUUUGAGAAUUCUAGCAUGUUUGUAGAGACCAUACAAGAAUUAUUAGAAGGAGGAAAGCAUGUAAAAGCACUCAAUGACUCUCUAGACUUGUGGAUGGGAUUCAUUCAGAAGAAUUUGCAGGUGAGAAGCAGAAGAGCUUUAGCAGUUGAUAAGCUAACGCAGUGGUAUCUUCAAUAGCCGCAGACAUUAAAUGUGCUUGAUCAAACUUCCAUCAACAUAGCACCCCCAAAAUGUAUCAGAGAGAAAACAAGAAAUCUAAGAGAAAUGACUAGCAGUGCAAAGUGCCAG
Molecule: RNA transcript, 3970 nt
Organism: Athene cunicularia (burrowing owl)
Lineage: Eukaryota; Metazoa; Chordata; Aves; Strigiformes; Strigidae
Gene: VTI1B
Gene name: vesicle transport through interaction with t-SNAREs 1B
Exons: 7
Source: RefSeq, a predicted model, not a curated record